Oryctolagus cuniculus (rabbit) is the source of this 19486-nucleotide non-coding RNA. The record is from RefSeq and is a predicted model, not a curated record. NCBI's taxonomy places the organism in Eukaryota, Metazoa, Chordata, Mammalia, Lagomorpha, Leporidae.
CAGCCUGCGCGACGGAGACGAGGACCCGAGUCGGGCGCCGGGUGCCCUUGGCCUCGGACCCGGGGGCGCUCGUCUGACGGCGGGUCUCCCGCGUGCUACCUUGUCAGAGCGGAGUCGGUGCACCCGUUGGGGGUCGAGAGUGCGGGCCCGGGUCGUGCUCGCGCCGGGGAGCCCCCGUGCCAGCCCACCUCAAGCCCUCCGUGCUGACGCCCCUAAAUUAUGUAACACCUGCCUCUGUCUCCAGGAAUGGAGAUCCCAUUCCGGAUAUUCCCGAUUCCCUUGGCUGCCAGCUGGGCGAAGGGAAGUUCACGUUCAGCCUCCGGAGAGUGUCCUUAAGUGGGUUUGGGGAGGGGGGCCCCUCCGCGUCCCCCCUCUGUCCACUGGCUGGAAAGGAGGCGGGCUCUCUGGGGCUGCAGCAGCCAGUGUGGACCAUGAGGUAGCACCCCAGGGAUCGUGGGCAGCAAGAUGGAAAUAGCCUAGAUUGGGGGCAGUUUUGAGAGUACCAGCCCUAGAUGCGUACCUCUGCAUGUUUGGGUGUGGAUGUUAUAUGUCUCUUCUGGGGCUGUCAGUAGGUCGUGUGUUUGGACGGGGAGGGGAGAGAUUUGUCUUAAGGACUUGGCUUCUGUGAGUCUGACACCUGCAGAGCGGAUGCUGCCCCUGGAGUCUGCAGCCACUGGCCCUUGAGUGGUCUCUUUCCUCCUAAGGCCGUCAGCUGACGGGGUGAGGGCCACCCACACUGUGGAGUUCUGUCUGCUGUCCUCCCAGCGACUACCGGAGGAGCAGUAGCUGAGGACACACAGAGGCUCAGCGGGAGAGCCACCCACAGCAGAAACAGCGGGAGAGGCCUGAAGCGGCCAAGGACAGCGGCCUCGGAGACAGCCCGGCCUGCGUCGUGGUCCCUGACUUCCAGCCUCCGGAACUGACAAAGAGCAAGUUCUGUUAAGUCACCCAGUCCGUGGCAUUUUAAAAAAGAUUUAUGUCUUUAUUUGAAAGGCAGCGUUACACAGGGAGAAAAAGAGAGAUGGGGCGGGGGUGGGGUGGAGAGAGAGAGGUGGGGUGGAGGUGGGGAGGGGAGAGAGAGAGAGAGAGAGAAAACCGUCUGCUUGCUGAUUCACGCCCCAAAUGGUCCCCGAUGUUGGACCCUGCCAAAGCCAAGAUCCAGGAACUCAGUGUGGGGCUCCCGUGUGGGUGGCAGAGGCGGAAGCCCUCAGACCAUCGUCCCUUGUUUUCCCAGCUCAUUACAGGGAGCUGGAUCAGAAGUGGAGCUGCUGAGACUCAUGGGACGCUGGUGUUGCAAGCGGUGGUUCGACCCACUGCACCACCGCGUGGGCCCAGCCGGUGGUAUUUUGACAGAAGCCCUAGGAAGCAAGGACACAUGAUGCAGCCAAGUUGACACAUAGAGGUAGCACUGCCGUGGUGCUUCUGUAGCCAGAGCACAUGGAAUGGGGAGGCGGGCACAACUCAUUCGCCUUCGGGGAGCUGGUGGGCGAGGACACAGCUCCCAACAGUCCUUCUGUUUCGGGGCAGCCUGAGGUCCGUCUUCCUGUGUGGCAGCCACGGGCAGCUUCCAGGAGGCCGUUUCUUGUGUGGACGUCUGUGUCUGUGUCUGGCCAGCAUUUGGGUUUCUAGGGACGGUGAGUCUUCCCGCCAUCCUCGCACAUCUCAGACCUAAAUUCCCCAGCAUGCACCGGCACCCAGAGUUGUCGUCUUUGUGAUUCUCAUCAGAGCAAGGCAGACCUCAGGGAGGACACGGGUACUAUUGGAGACCCCCGUACCGGGAAGAAGACCCAGUGGCUGUGCGUAGCAGACAUGACAUGUUCUCUCCUGGCCUGGGGUCUUCUCAUGGACUUAUUUUAUAAAUUCAGAAUUUUUUCAUCUGUCCCUCAAAUAUCCAAGACUAGCCUGAAAGCACACAGUGAUCCGUCGCUAGGUUGCACAGAGGGGGAGAAAGAGAGAGAGAGAGAGAGAUUCCAUGUGCUGGUUCAUUCCCCAAGGGGCUGGGCCAGGCUGAAGCCAGGAAGCUAAAACUCCAUCCAGGUCUCCCAUGUGGGUGCAGGGGUCUAAGCCCUUGGGCCGUUGUCUGCUGCUUUCCCAGGCACAUUAGCAGGGAGCUGGAUCAGAAGUGGAGCAGCUGGGACAUAAGAUGCCAGGAUUGUAGGCAGCAGCUUAACCCACUGCCCUGCAGUGCUGACCCCAACACUGAAGAUUCGCAUGACGAUUGCCAGCAUCCACAGUAGCUCCUGCGCAUUGCUCUAUUUGGCUUGUAAGAUUCGUCACAUCACCAACACCACUCUGUCCCUUAUGACUGGGGGCAAAGCACUUUGCGUGCAUUGCCAGUGGUGCUUUGUCCAGCCGUCCCGUAGGCAGUACUGUUACAUCUCCCUUUUUUACAGCUAAGGGAGGUGAAGGACUUGCCAGCAUCAUCCAGCCCACAGUGGUGGCAGGACCAGAUGCGUACCCAAGCUAUCUGCACAAAGCUGGCACCCUGACCUGUGCCCCAUGAUGUCUUUUUCGGGGGCUGCAACCCCCUGGCGGGGGGACCCACCUUGUGUUUGCUGCAUCGGGUGUGAGCUCGGCCUCCCCAAGGCUCUUCCGGCCUGGGCUUCCGUGUGUGGGUACCGGGAGGAAGGGGGGGAGGCCAGCUGUGCGGCUGCCUGGCUGGGAGGCGGGCUGUGUAUUGAUUGACUGAAAUUGGAUUUGUUGACACAAACUGCCAGCGUUUCGCAGUGAUGAAAGGAUUGCCCACCGGCCUUCUACAAGCAGAUUUCCCCGAGGGCCGCAGAGCUGCUGGUGUCGUUCUUUUGUGGCGAGAAGAAAGCAAUUAGGAGAGCGGGCGAGGUUAUUAGGACCAGGCACGCUGAUAUGGAAUGCAGGCAUCCCAAGUGGGGAUUUAACCGCCGUGCCAAAACACCCACCCUGACACCUGUAUCUUGACAGGAGGUCCCUGCUACCUGUGAGAUGUAUGGAAAUGACUCUUGAGGUCAUGGACGAUCAUACCAUGCUGCAUUUGCUGGUCCUUCCUCCCAGAAGCUGCUCGACUCUAAGAUUCCCCUUGGGCUGUGUUGCCCUAGAAGGACCACGGCAGGUGCACCACGGGCAGUGAUGGUCAUUCUUCCCACUGUCUGGACACCACGCCCCAAUGACUGUUGGCAGAUGAGGCCGACGCUGCAGGCUUCUAGAAUUCAAUUCUUUUCAUGACUCCAUGUGCUUGCAGUCAUUCUCAGCGUGACGAUAUCACACAUUUGACCCACUGUACUCUUCCUCUUCUUCUCCAAAUCGCUUAUGAAAAUGUCGGAUAGGGCUGUGGUAAAGGUAUGCCCAAUGGAGCUCUCUCUCUACGUUGACAUUUGCGCAUUGAUAGGCCCUGCUGGGUAUGUUUGUUCAACCAGUCGCCUGUGAAUCACCCAACACUUCUGUCAUCAGCCUACAUUUUGCCCAUCUGUUUGUGGGAAUAUUCAGUUUAGCUCUUUAGCAUAUAUUACCUACUUUUGUUCUGUCACAGUAGCUGGUGUUGUUUGCCUGUGUUGGGUAUCGUUGCAGGCAGGGGCCACAUCCUGCUUUUCUGCUCUUGACCUCUACGUUGAUCAUGUGAGAAGCAUUCAGUGGGCUCUUGAUGAGCUCUUUCAGCCAUACCGCUCAAUCAAUAGGCCUGUUUUCUUAUUUAUGCCUUUUCUGACCCUAUGGCAUAUUUUUGUUCAUAAUUAAUUAAUAUGUAAGGUGUGUGGGAAAAAUCUAAUUGGAUUUAAGUUCUUGCUUAAAUGCAUCAACUACAUUUAACCUAGGUUGAAUCCCUAACAGUUGGAUGAUAGAAAAUACAAGGAAGGGAAGAUGCUAGGAGCGGUUUGCCUUAGCCUCCUGGGGAGCUGCCCUUCCAAGAUGUCAGAGAAGAUGCCGCUGCGAAGGUGUGGGGCAGGCGUUUGGCCUGGUAGUCAAGAUAUCAGUUAAGAUGCCCACGUCUGGGGCAGGCAUCGUGGCGCAGCAGGUGAAGCCACCUCCUGUGAUGCCGACAUCCCCCAUGGGCACUGGUUCAAGUCCCGGCUGCUCCACUUCCAAUCCAACAAAGUAUUAGCAAACAGAAUCCAACACUACAUCAGAAAGGUCAUACAUCAUGAUCAAAUGGGACUUAUCCCAGGGAUGCAGCAUUUGCAAAUCAGUAAACAGUGAGUCCCAUCAGCAGGAUGAAGAACAAAACCCCGUGCUUGUCUCCUUAGAUGGAGAGAAAGAACAUCACAAGAUUCAACAUCGCUUCAUGACAAAAACUCUCGGCAAAUGAGGUACAGAAGGAACACACCUCCAAAUUAUAAAGGUUAUAUACGACAAACCCACAGCCAAUAUCACGCUGCAUUGGGAGAAAUGGAAAAUAUUUCCCCUUAGAUUCGGGAAAAAAGAAUGUCCACAUCACCACUCUUAUUCAUUGUAGUGUUGGCAGUGUUAGCAAGAGUGAUCCGAGAAGACAAAUAAGAGACGUCGGAAUUGGAAAGGAGGAGGGAAAAAGACCCACAUUUGCAGAUUGCGUGAAGCUGCACAUGAAAAAACCUGCACACGUCGCCAAAACGUUGUUAGAACUGAAAAACUAUUCAUAAAGUCACAGGGCGCAAAAUCAACAUACAAAAAAUGGCAUUUUUAUACGUCAAUAAUGAUCUUUCUGGAAGAGAAUUAAGAAAUCAAUUUCAUUCACAAUCAUUAGAAGAAAUUAAAUUUUAGUAAUAGAUUUAACCAAAGAACUGAAAAAUUUCAAUAAAAUUAUAAAAUACUGAUGAAAGAAGUCAUGGAAGAUUUGAAAAAUGAAAAUAUAUUUCAAAUAAAUAAAUCCUUGUUCAUGGAUUGGAAAAAUUAAUUUUGUUAAAAUGUCUAUGCUGCCUCAAGCAAACUACAGAUUUCAUGCAAUACCCAUCAAAAUUCCAGUGAUAUCUUUUAUAUAAUUAGCAAAACACUUGUAAAAAUUCAUACAGAACCAGAAAAGACACAGAAUAGCCAAAGCUAUCCUGAGCAAAAGAAAAAAAAAAUUGGGACCGGCGCUGUGAUGUAGCAGGUAAAGCCGCUGCCUGCAGGCCCAGUAUCCCGUGUGGAUGCUGGUUCAAGUCCUGGCUGCACCACUUCCAAUCCAGCUCUCUGCUAUGGCCUGGGAAAGCAGUGGAAGAUGCCCAAGUGCUUGGGCCCCUGCACCCGCGUGGGGGACCCAGAGGAAGCUUCUGGCUUCUGGCUUCGGAUUGGCUCAGCUCUGGUUGUUGCAACCAUCUGGGGAGUGAACCAGCGAAUGAAAGACCUCUUUCCCCCCCACCCCCUGCCUCUCUGCAGCUCUGCCUUUCAAAUAAAUAAAUAAAUAAAAUCUUUUAUAAAAGAAAAGAAAAUAAAUCAAGAUGCAAGCAUCAUAAUACCUGAUUUCAAGCAUACUGCAAAGCUAUCAUAAUCAAAACAGCAUGGUACUGACAUAAAAAGAUUACCUCACACUAUAUACAAAAGUAAACUCAACAUGGAGCCUACACGUGAUACCUGAAACCAUGAAUUGCUGGAAGAAAACAUAGGGAAAACACUUCAGGACAUUAGUACAGGUGAUGAUUUUUUGGAUGAGACCCCAAAAGUUCAGGCAACAAGAGCAAAACUAGACAAAUGGGAUUAUAUCAAUCUCAGAAACUUCCUCACAGAAAGGAAGCAUUCAACAGAGUGAAGAGACAUCCUACAGGACUCUAGAAAAUAUUUGCAGACCGCUUACCCAGCAAAAAAUUAAUAUCCAGCAUAUACCAGGAACUCCUAAAACUCAACAACAGGAAGCAACCAAUCCACUUAAUAAAUAGGUGAGGGGCCAGCGUUGUGCCACAGCAGGGUAAGCCUCCACCUGUGGGGCAGGCGUCCCAUACGGGCACCAGUUUGAGACAUGCUGCUCCACUUCCCAUCUAGCUUUCUGCUAAUGCGCCUGGGAAAGCAGCAGCAGAUGGCCCAAGUCUUUGGGUCCCUGCCACCCACAUGGGAGACCCGGAAGAAGCUCCUGGCUCCUGGCUUCAACCUGACCUACCCGUAGCUCUUACAGCCAUUUGGGGAAUAAACCAGCAGAUGGAAGAUCUUUCUCUCCUUCAGUCUGUCCUCUCUCUGUAAAUAUGCCUUUCAAAUAAAUAUAAAAUAAAUCUUUAAAAAAAAUAGGCAAAUGACCUGAAUAGUUUUCAAAAGAAGAAAUACAAAUGUCCAACAGAUGUAUGGAAAAAUGCCGAGCCAUCAGGAAUGUAAAUCCAAACCACAAAGUGAUAUCGCUCCACCCCUGUUAGAAUGGCUCUGGUCAAAAAGGUAGAAACUAACAAAUACAGCAAGGAGGGGAGAAAGGGAAACUCAUAUUCAUGGCUGGUGUGUAAAUUAGUGCAACCACUAGGGAAAACAGUAUGGCGGUUCCUUAAAAAAAAAAAAAAAAACUGGAAAAUGUCCCUGGCUGGAUUCUGUCCUGUGCCGCUGUUCUUUGCAGCAGCGGGCGUCUACCCCAGCUGCCUUCACGCCCACCUAUGUGUGUCCCACCACCCCAUGGAGGGUUCAGUGGAGCUGCCGAGGCUUCAGAGCUCUUCUCAGUGGUGAGCUAAAGGUCAGGAGACCAUCACUUUAAAGUGGACAAAGACAAAGGUGAGAACCAAUCAUCUUUUUUUUUUUUUUUGACAGGCAGAGUUAGACAGUGAGAGAGAGACAGAGAGAAAGGUCUUCCUUUGCUGUUGGUUCACCCCCAAAUGGCUGCUACUACCAGUGCUGUGCCGAUCCGAAGCCAGGAUCCAGGUGCUUCUCCUGGUCUCCCAUGGGGUGCAGGGCCCAAGCACUUGGGCCAUCCUCCACUGCACUCCCGGGCCACAGCAGAGAGCUGGCCUGGAAGAGGAGCAACCAGGACAGAAUCCGGCGCCCCAACCGGGACUAGAACCUGGGGUGCCGGCGCCGCAGGCGGAGCAGUCAGUUAAGGCGCUGGUGCAGAGGCAGUGAGUCGUGCAAUUAUGGGAACGUUGGCCACUCUGAGAUGUCCAGACAGCCUGCCGUUUCCCUUGAGAGCCCUGGAAUGCCACCACCCGUGGACUCAAGGUUAACGCGUGGCUCAGGACCUGUGCAGGUUGGUGGACAGCACUUAGCCUCUGUGGGGGAAGGUGCAGAGUCAGAGGAUGAAGGGGAGGAGAUGUGAACCUAUUCAGCGUAUCUGGAAAGCGAUCUGCCCCUGGAGCUGGCAGCAGGGAACCAUGGGAAACAGUGAAGCUUGCAGCUGAGGAAGAUGAUGAUGAUAAUGAUGAAGAUGAUGAUGACAGUGUUGGUUCUGAUGAUGAAGAAACUAAGAAAAACCUCCCGGGAAGAAUUCUCUAUGAGACACCCUAAUCAGGACUGCACAGAACUCAAGCAGAAUUGGAAAGACUCAACACCAGCAACACCAAGUUCAAAAGACCCAAAAUCCUCAAGAAACAGGAAAAAACUCCUAGAACACUGAAAGGACCUCGUUCUGUAGAAGACUUAGAGCAACAAUGCAAGUAAAUGUAGGAAAAGGUGACUCUCUUCCCAAAGUGGAAACCAAAUCCAUGUUCUAUGAGGAGGCUAGUCAAGCUCUGUGGCAGUCGGGGAAGACUGUUUAAGAAAGCAGUUUAAACAGCUUGUUAAUUUUUUUCAUUUUAUUUCAUUUCUAUAACAGUUGAUAUCUGGCUUUCCUUUUUAUAAUGCAGAGUGAGAACUUCCCCUACCAUGUUUGGUAAAUGUUGUCCAGGUUCCUUUGCCAAGAACGUGUUGUCCAAGAUGCUUGUUCAGUUUUUAAAGAUGGCACGCUACCCUUUGCUCGGUUUUAAGUAUGUAUGGGAUGAUAUGAAAAGACACAGUAGUAGCAGGGAUCAGACAUGGAAAUGGCGGGGAGGCAAAAAUAUACGUGUGAAAUAAACUCAGGAUUUUAAUAAAGUAGAAUUGCUACUCUUUCUAAAGAAGAAACUAGAAAUAGAACUGUCAUACAUACGAUCCAGCAGUCCAUUACCAGCUAUCUAUCCAAAAGACAGAAAAUCAUGAAAUCAUUGUGUCAAAGAGAUGUCUGCUAUACUGUGUGUAUUGCCGCACCGUUCACAACAGCCAAGAUUUGGAGCCAGCCAAGAUGUUCAUCGGCAGGUGAAUGUGGCACAUGUGCAGAAUGGAAUGUUCUUCAGUCGUGGACGGUUGAAGCCCGUCGUUUGCACAAACCGAGUGGAACUGGAAGGCGUCAUGUUGCGUGAAAGAAGCCAGACACAGAAAGACAAAUACUGCAUGUUUUCCCUCAUAUGCGGAAGCUUAAGAAACUCCAAAUGAACAGAGUGGCGAUUGCAGGGGGCUGGGAGGUGUGGGGAGGAAUAGGAGGAAUUUGGAUAUUGGGCACCAAAUCCGAGUUAGGUGGAAGGCGUGAGCUCCUGGUGUUACACAGCAUGGUUGGGGGACUGUUGGCUCGCAAUAGCUCAGUAUGAAUUUUGUGAACAAGUAGAAGUAAGCAGCACCAAGCCUCCAGUCAUACAGUCAUGUCACAGGAAGGGCAAUGUUGAUUAUCCUGAUUUGCUCAGUACACAUUGUAUACCUGUAUUGAAGUGCCACACUGUGGCCCAUAAAUACAUGCAAUUAUUAAUGGAAAAUUAGAAAAAUUUUAUGGGGAAUGGAAUUCCAACUUUCAAAAAAGGGAUUUUUCCAUUUAGACAAGACGUUCAAACCGGGGAGACAUUGUGCUACGUGAAAUAAGCCAGGGGCCAGCGCUGUGGUGUAGCGGGUUAAGCUGCUGCCUAUGACGCCAGCAGCCUGUGUGGGCGCCGUGCAAGACUCAGGUGCUCCACUUCUGAUCCAGUUCCCUGAUAAGGUGCCUGAGAAAGCAGUGGAAGAUGGCCCAAGUGCUCGGGCCCCUGCACCAACACAGGAGACCCAGAAGACGUUCCAGGCUCUUGGCUUCAGCCUGGCACAGCCUUGGCCAUUGCGACCAUUUGGGGAGUGAACCAGCAGCUAGAAGAUCUCUUUCUCUCUGUCUCCCCUCUUCUUUCUGCAACUCUGCCUUUCAAAUAAAUACAAAAAUAAAUCCUUGGGAAAAAAGAGAUCAACCCAACACAGAAGCACAAAUACUGCAUUGUCCCACUUACGUGAGGUACCUGAAAUAGUUAAACUCAUAGAAGAGGAGAUAGAACAGAGGUUACUCCUGGCUGUAGCAAGGGGAAGAUGGAGAGAUGUCCAAUUCAUAUAAAGUUUUAGUGAUGCAAGAUUAUUUUUUUGUGGGGAUCUUCUGUAUAACAUAAAGCCUGUAUCAACAAUACUGUAUUAUGCACGUAAAAAUUUGCUAGGACUGUAGACGUCAUGCUAAGUGUUCUCACUACAAAUAAAAUGAAAGGAAACUUCUAGAAGUGAUGCAUAAGCCCCUUUGAUACUGUGAUCAUGAUUUCAUGUGUCCAGACUCAUCAGACUGUAUAUAUUAAACACGAGAACUUUCAGUUAUUCCACAAUAAAAUUGCUUUUUUUUAAAAAAAAAAAAGGGGGGGGGGAAUAAUCAGAUCAGGAAAAGUUGGUGGGUCGUAGGAACUUAGAAGAAAAUUUUCAACCUACUAUUUAGCCACUGAGGGUAGGAUCAGCCAAUGAGGACUUAUUAAGAGCAAAUGAAGAUAUCAUUAUAGUGGUUAUAAAUGUGUUUAUUUUGCUCUAUUACUGCUUACAUUAUGUAUGACUAAUAAGUGAGUUUUUAAGUUUGGCUUUUGUCUAAUCAAAUCAAUAUUUACUGAGGCAGUAUUAGGUAGUGACUGAGACUCUGCAGUGGCUAAGCUAUAUUCAGAUCUCUUCUUGUUCAUCAGCUUGGGUGCAUUAUCUAACAUCUUUAGUUGCAUCCUAUGGCAUCUGCAGAUUUCACGGGGUUUGCUGGAAGAAUUCAAUUAGAUAAGACAUGUAGGAUGUUUAGAAUAGUGCCUGGCAUGUGGGCAUUGCUAGUUAAAUGACAGCUAUUAUUGUUUUUUUAAUACUUAAAUAAUAGUGUCUUGGGGAUGUAAGUAUUCAAAAUCUGAACUGCUCAUUCUUAUAUUGAAAUAGCUACUGUGUAACUUUAAGAAAUACACGCUGAUACAAAUACAUUGAUAAAGAAGUCAUUAGGAAGAAAACAAACUUAGAAUACUUUCAGGACAGUCCCCAAACCUUCAAAUAACAAAAUCAAAGUUACAGAAAGAGUAACACCUCCUGAUCUGAGGAGAUGCGUUAUUUAUGCCAAUAAUAUUCUCAAGUGUUAAAGUAUCACCACGGGUAGAAGUUAAGUAAAUGGAAGGUUGAUUUCCUUCCUCCCUCACUCAACAACUCCCGAGAUUUCAGCGGUCUUAGGUGCGAGUUCAGAAGCCAACAUCCUUACUGGGCACUGAAGAUGCGUUGCAGCCCUGGUCCCUCCUUCCCACCUUCCUCCGGCUUUGCCUCUGCUGUUCCUCCCUGCCUUCCCUUCUUAUGUUCCUCCCCCACUCUCCUCCUUAUAUCCAUGCAUCCAUCCAUCCUUCCAUCCGUUCAUCCAUCUGUCCACCUGCAGUGCCUAUCACUUGAGUCCCCUUCCUAUUUCUGCUGAAUCUGGAAGCCAAAAAGAUCAGAUAUUUGCCGACCCCAAAUCCUGGCAGCAAAGAGGUGGAACUCUGGCAUAACCAUGGCCACUGUGUGCUCCCACUAGAGACCUGGAAUGCAGAGUAGGGAGGUGAGGGGGCAGGGUCAGUGGGGUCUGCAGUAGUGCAGGUGCCCCAACUGCCCAUUGCUGGACACAGGCUUCCCAAGCCUCCCCAGUAGUGCUGGGUUCUCAGACCUGGCUCUCCAGGUUUUACCCUGCACCGGACCCACGAGUUACGUCACAGCCCCUAAGAUUCUUCUUUCCGAGGUCUCCCCUAGGUCGAUGCUGUGGUCUACAGCCAAGAAUCCUGAGCAUGGUGCCUGUGGCCACAUGGAAGAUGAGGUGCUGCCUGCGGCGUGUUCUGAAGACGACUCACCCAGUUAUUUUGCAGUCAGCCGCUCAGUUUGACCGUUAAUCACGACAGUGAUGUCACUGUGGUGGCCAUAUGUACUCUCUCGAUCUGAGGCCCUCCUCGACCUUGUAAUAUUAUUAAAUAUGAGAGAGAACCCACUUGCUGCAUAAUCUCAAGUCAGCUCUUAGUCUCUGAUUUUUAAAACAAAGUCCGUGAUAUCCCAGCUGUACUUUCGGUCAUUCUUAUAAAAAUAAAGGUGGCCCAGGGAAGCCUGCAUCCACUCGCCAGAAAGACAGUGAGCAGCUCGGGUAGGCAGCCGACCCAGUGCUCAGCAGGGCCGUUCUUAGUUUAUUUCCAUAACCAGGAAAGAACACACUGUAUCUAAAACAAUUCUUUACAAUAAAUAGAACGAUGCAUUUGUUUUUGUUGUAGGCUUCAUCACCAUUAUUUGUGACAUGCGAAUAUCAUGUGGCGCCUUGGUUAAUCACCCCCUUUUCUCUUCAUUCGUUCUUCAAAUCACUUAAUUCCAUCAUCAACUUGGAAACUGGGCAUGUGGGAUUUUUAAAAAGAUUUUAUUUAUUUAUUUGAGAGGUAGAGUUAGAGAAAGAGAGAGGAGAGACAGAGAGAAAAGUCUUCCAUCCACUGGUUCGCUCCCCAAAUGGCCGCAUCAGAGCUGCAUUGAUCUGAAGCCAGGAGCUUCUUUCAGGUCUCCCACGCCUGUGCAGUGGCCCAAGAAGUUGGCCCAUCUUCCACUGCUUUCCCAGGCCAGAGCUGGAUCGGAAGAGGAGCAGCUGGGACAUGAACUGGAGCCCAUGUGGGAUCGGCAGUGCCACAGGCAGAAGCUUAGCCUGCUAUGCCACGGUGCUGACCCCCGGAUGAAGAUACCUUCACUGACAUCUUGUCCGCUAAGCCAAAUGCCUGUCCCUUCUGUAUUCUUAAGUUGCUUCAGAUGACUUACCCUGAAAUCUUACCUACAGAAGACCAUUAGGACUCUCAGGAAAACCUGUUGAAUGCUGUCUUCCUUCUCAGUGCUGCAGGGGUGGUCACAUCACGGUCUGCCUGGAGUCCUGCGUAAUCUCCUUCUUGGGGUCACUGUUUCCAUCCGUUGUUCCUGUAGGCACGCACACUCCAAUUCAUGGCUUUUGCUCUUAGCGAUGAGAACACCGAGAAGCAGUUGUCCAGCCAAGAGGGCUGACCUUUCAGACGGCGGAGGAACCCCAGGAACCACGGGUCUGGUCCCGAGGUCCCUGCUUUGAUCUGGGCUUGCUGCCGCCUCCUCUGUGGCGUGCUCUGCCCCACCUGUUUUAGCUUCCGAAGCAGCAGCACUAGAAGAGUGAACGGCGCAGCCAGAGCCAGGAAGCCUAAUUGCUGACUUGGGCAGAUAGAAAAGGGGCUCUAAAAGGAGCAUCUUAAUCUUUGAGAGUCAUCAAUAAUGUGACUAUUUUCCCAUGUUUUAUGCAAAUGUGAUUUUUUGGUGGUAAACAGUAAGAUCAUAUAUGUAUAUAUAAUCCAAAAUUGUAUGCAAUUAGCAUUUGAAAGAUUGUAAUUAUAGCCUGGCUAGGGCUUUUCUGUAGGUGCUAAAAUGGAUUUCUUGGCUGAAUUAUUUUGCAGUAGACUUAAACCACUAAUUGUACACCUAAAUGAAAUUGAGUGUGAACAAAUCGAAUAACUUUUAUUUUACCUUGGAUAAUAAUUUAUUGAUGCAAAUAAAUCUGCUUAAUUAAAUCUGGCACAGCUAGGCCUGUGGAGGCCCCACAUAAAGGCAUUCUGUCACCCAGCUUUAGCCGUUAUUUUAAUUUUAGAAUAAUGUUCCCCCAUUCUUAGAGAGAAUUGUGUAUCUAUUAAGGCCUGUGGGAGCAGUGAGUUGUGGGUUCAGGAUAGAUCUCUUUAAAAGAAGUGAUACUCAUUUAGAAUGUAACUGAAUACAUCCAGAAUGGAAACGUGCCUUACCUUCCCUGGAAAUGGCCUCUUAGUUCAGAAAUUCCCAAGUCCUUCACAAACGUAGAAAGAGGGUGGAAACCGGGGCACACUUUAUCCUGAUCAAUGAUACCUCUUAGGCACCUAAUCAAAGAUAAGCCACUUAAACAAACAUGAGUUUCCCAACACUUUCGCACAAAGCUAUCAGGAACUGGUGGCUUGAAACAACAGAAGUACACUGUUGCACAAAAUCGAGGUGUCAGCAGGGCCACGCUCCCUCUGAAACGCGCCUGGGGAUCCUUGCUUGCUUCUUGAAGCUUCUGGCGGUUGGCUGAUGGAGAGGGAGAGAGACCUCCUAUGUGCUGGUUCACUGCCCAAAUGGCCGCAACAGCUGGGUCCGGGCCAGGCCAAAACUGGGAGUCUAGAAUUCCAUCCGGGUCUCCCACGUGGGCACGGGGGCCCAAGCACUUGGGUCAUCUUCCACUGCUUUCCCAGGUGCAGUAGCAGAGAGCUGGAUUGGAAGUGGAGCAGCUGGGACUCGCAUCAGUGCUCUGAUAUGGGGUGGCAGUGUUGUAGGUGGUGGCUUUACCUGUUGCACCACAACGCUGUGCCCAGGAGGCGGGAGCUUUAUCCACAGGCUCCUAUCCUGCUGCUGGAGGGUUGGCCCUUGCGUGACAAUGGCCUUGCACUUCUGGGCUGUGUUUAGCACAGGCCAAAUCCACUCACUGGUCUCCUGAGAAGCCCAGAUGCAAACGGCAGAGUCAGCUUGAGUGUGUGUUUGUGCAGAACCAUCCGUGGCAGCUACGGCUGAAAUGAGAGGCGGUCAGGGGGCUGUAGGGGGGCGUCAGAGCAUCUCCCGCAGCCCGCCCGUCACACUGCUCAGAUGUGCUGUGGCCCCACACGCAGCAGGCUCGUGAGGAAGCCUCCAAGGGGGUGGCAGGCUCCGGCUCCUCAGAGCACGUGUCCCCAGCAGGAUACGGCUGGCUCUCAUCUCCCCUUUCCAUCAUCCAUCCUAGAUGUCCCUACUCUUAGUGACGUCCGAGCUGAUUUGGGCUUGGUGAGAGGCUCGACCCUGUGGUAGCUGCUGUUGUUGGUCCCUGGCUGUGCAGUUGCCCCAGUAUUACUGAAUCUCCAGUGAAAAGCCUGUGUCACACAUCGCUCCAUCCCACCCCUCACUCUGUGGCAGCAACUCGAGCUCCCCAGGAUAAUCCAGGGUCACCGUUCCUGCCCGCGUAUGAACUCCUCCUUUGGCCUGCUGGUCUGUGAGUGUGAGUCCGCAGUGACCUGAGGGCAGGCAGAGCUUUAGGCUUUGUGGAGGCAUCACUGUGCUCUCCCGUGGGAGCCAACCUUCCUUCCCAAGGAGCUGUGCUGUCCACCGUCCCAGGGAGAGAAGUCCAGAUUCCCCAAGUGGCUGACUCGGGGUGCAGGUGGGAAGAGUUAACACGAUUCUACCUCUUGGUUCUCAGACUUAUGUAUUCUAGCCAUCAGGGACACAGCUUCAUACAAUGGUCCACGGUUCAAGACUUACCCUGUCUCUUGGAGGAUGGUGCCCCUGCCUCAUGGGCUGUUUGUCCCCCAGAUGGCUUAGCUGAGCCUUGAAGAGGCCAGUCCAACACCCAUGAGAACUCUCCCAGGAGAUGUGGCAGGCGGCAUGAGAGCUGACCCCAGGGCCCUGCACUCCCUGUCCCGCCUCCCUCGCUCCUUGCAUCCUGCAGGGUCCCACUUGGCACAGCGGGCACAGUGCUCAUCUGGGUGGUAUUCGUAGAGGCCCUGCACCAGAGAAGGAGACGCAGACAGCUUCAGAAGAGAGGUCAGUUCAGGCAGGGAGGGAUGCAUCUUUCCCCUCCACGUGGAUGUGGUCUGAUGGGAUAAAUGAUGGGUCUCCCAGGGGAAGGUGCUGUAUAAAGGGGUCAGUACUGGAAUCUGCUGCUGAUAGGCAAGGUUUUCGGGAGCAGGGCCAGCCAGGUGGCUCUUCCCUGGAGAAAGGCACCAGGGCCGAGAAGUCCCGGUAUAAUUGCCGAUCCUGCCGCCAUGGCCAUGCCACUGAAGGGCUCACCGUCCAAGCACUGGGUGGGCUGGGGACACAGGAUGACCGCCAUUCAUCAGCCAAAUCCUCCUGGGAGCACCUCUUCCACCCUGAAUCCUCCCUAGUGACAAUGACAUGAUACGAACAAUGUGUGGCAGCGUCCGAUGGGCCACCCACAGCCUCUUCCCAGACAUCCUUGAUCUUCUAACCCUGCGAGAGGCGUCAGGACAAGAGAGGUAGGUGACACGGAGACCUAGGCUACCUUUGCUCAGAACUGAUCCUCAAGAACUCCGUCCCCGUGUGCCUGCCCUGUUUGGCAGAUCUGACCAUGGCCAGCUCAUGCUGAGUAGCGCCAGUCCCAUCAUCGCUUGAUACCUCGUUUUCAGGCGCUUGAUCUCUACUGCCCCAUUAGUGCAUGGGCAGCUGGGUUUGAAUGGUGAGUACAAUCAUCAGUCCCCUGAAUGGAGUGGACAUGGCCUUUCUCCAGGACCUCAUAUAUGCUGCAUUGCAGAUCUGCUGGGGUUUGUCAAAGGUUCCCUGUGCAUCCUUUUCUGUCGUGGACACCCCCAGCACUAUUGGACCUGCUGAAUUAAAUGACCUCAGCAGCGGGGUAGGUUUUACUGAAGUCUGGAAUUUCUUUAGAGUUUUCCUAUGCUCCGGGCUUCACUCAAAACCUGGUAGACUAAUCAGCCCCCAAAACUGGAUCAGAGAAAUAAUUGCAAAUGCAAUAUAGCUUCCCUCCAAAAAUCAAAAGUAGCUUACCAAUGUACCUGUUUCAAAUAAUUUUUAAAAAUUUACUGACACAUUAAAAUUGUACAUAUUCAUGGAAUACCAUGUGAUGUUUUGAUACUGGAUCUAUGGGGUAAUGUCCAAUCAGGCCAAGUGUAGUUAUCUCUUUAAACAUUUAUCAUUUAUUUAUGGUGAGUCCGUUUAAAAUCUUUUCUUCUAGCUUUUUAAAGAAAAAAACAGACACUACAUUGUGAGUACCUAUUUACUCUAUUAUCUAGUUACCCUACUGUGCAACAGAAAUCAGAAUAUCUUACCCAAUCUAACAUGGACUUAGUAUAUGUUAAAUAUCCCUUCCCCUCACCCCCCCCCCCCACAUAGUAUUUAGCUAUAGAGAUGGGGUUUGGGGUGGUUCUUUUAUUUAGAGAUGGGGUUUGGGGUGGUUCUCUUAUUUAUUUAUUUAUUUGCAUUACAGCACAUAUCCCAAGUCAUGGGAUCAGUAAUAGAGUAUUCCACCGUGAUAUCGGGGGAGAGCAGGAGCGUUAGGACAGAUGGAAGGGAAGACAAUGCCUGUGUAUUUAGACCCCUUCCUGUAGCUCAGAACUGCGUCUGGUCCUCUUUCCUGAGGUUUGGAAGGGGCUUGUGGCCGGAUGCAGGCUGAGCUGAUCUGCUGCCGUCAAGAUGCCACAUCCAAUUGUGCAGCUGGAUCCAAUUAGGACGCAGCUUAGCUAGGUCUGGGGAGUCCGCGCCGCUUAUGAAAGCCCACCUGGGAUCCGCAGAGCCCACACGGACAGACGGAGUGGGCUCCUGGCACCAGCUUCCGCCUGGAGUGCUAUGGUCAGCGGCCUCUGCCCCAGGUCAUGUUUGCCUUGCCUCUGCCGGCUGAAUGCCGCUGCCCAGCCUCCAUACUCUGAACACCAUCGUCCUCGUGAGCACUGGAGAGCGCCGUCCUACGGAUGACAAUGGAAGACACCACCCCAGAGAUUCCCAGCAAUAGGGGACCCCGCCCCAGUGAGCUUCUCGGUUCUCUGUGAAGGCUGUGUCCCCUGGCCGCCCAGGAACAGGGUCAGGGCCUGUGAUCUGGCAUAGGAAGUCCUCCUUGGGUCUUCUCAAUACAAUGCCAAGGCUGAUAGGCCUAUUUUCUUACUGUAGGUGGGCCUCACGUCCCAGCUUCAAGGAUGGGCACAAUGGACAUCGGUCAUGGGAAAGCGUUAACGAACUUUCCCAAGGCCAGCGUUGUGUCGCAGUGGGCUCAGCUGCUGCUGGUGAUGGUACCGUUCUAUGCCACAGCGCUGGUUCGAGUCUCAGCUGCUCCACUUGUGAUCCACCUCACUGCAGAUGUGCCUGGGAAAGCAGCAGAAGAUGGUCCAAGUGCUUGGGCCCCUGCACCCAAGUUGGGGGCCUGGAUAGCGUUCUGGUCUCCUGGAUAAAUUCUGACACAACCCCAACCGUUGUAGUCAUUUGGGGAGUGAAUCAUUGGAUUGAAGAUUCUUUCUCUCUCUCUGUCUCUCUCUCUCUCUGUCUCUCAUUUUCUCUCUGUCACUCAGCCUUUCAGAUAAAUAAAAUAAAUUAAAAAACAAUUUUCUCCCACGCAUGUUCAUGUGCCACCUGCUGGCCCCACACUCCGGGGUCACCCCCACCUGGGUCUCCCUGGUUUCUGCUGGUACACGUGAGGCCUUCAACAAUGUCAGUGAAUAGUUUUCAACAUCCGUAUUUGUAAUUGGACUGUGUUCCCCUCCCUAGGGCUCUACUGAGAAGUGACCUCGUUAGUAGUCUGUGAUUGAUAACAAAGAAAAUACACAGUUGAGAAAAUGGCUGGAAAUAUGAAAUGAACGAAGUAUUGCUGUGCACUAUGAAGUCACUAAAGGGGAAAAGGAAAAAACAGAGCCGUGGACCAGGUCCCCCAUGGCCAGCAGUGUCUCUUGAAGUCUAUUUUCAACACAGCUGCCAGAGUUAUUCUUUUAAGACAAAACCAUGUCAUUGUUCUGCUUAAAAUCGUCCAGCAGCUUCCCGCCAAUCCCAGGUCAAAGCCAAAGUCCUUGUGUGGCUCGCCAGGGGGCAGCCCUGUUGUCUUCUGGACCUUGGCUCUCACUUUGGUGUCUCAGUCACACCGUGUAGCCGCACUGCCUCCUGCCAUUCGCAAACACGUCAGGCACACUUCUGCCUUGGCCAUUGCUUCUGCCCUGGGUCGCUCGCUCUUUCUAAUUUAAUUUAAUUAUUCUAGAAGUAGAGUUACACACAGAGAGAGGGAGAGACAGAGAGAAAGGUCUUCCAUCCACUGGUUCACUCCCCAAAGAGUUGCAAUUGACAAUCGGCCAAUCCAAAGCCAGGAGCUGCUUUGGGGUCUCCCACGUGGGUGCAGGGGCUCCAGCACUUGGGCCAUCCUCUGCUGCUCUCUCAGGCCGUUAGCAGGGAGCUGCAUCAGAAGGGGAGCAGCAGGACAGGUUCAGCGCCCAAACUGGAUGCUGGUGCCACAGGCAGAGGCUUAGCCUGCCGCACUGCCGCGCCCGCCCCGGGGCUCACUCUUACCCACGCUGCACAGAGUGCUUGGUCUGAAAUCCUCCCGUAUGCUUCCCCUGACACUACUGGCUCCUCUUGUCCAGCUUCCGCCAACUCUGUAUCAUUAAUUUAUUAUGGUUUAUUAUCUGCUUUCCCUGCGAAACUGUAAGCUCCGUGAGGGCAGGGUAGUUUUUUGCUCACUUAUGUAUCCUGAUGUUUAUGGAGCAUUGCUUUGCACAUAAUAGAUGCUUAUUACAUAUUUAUUUACAACGUUCUGGUGAGGCAGAAGCAAUCUGAAACUAAACAGUUAACUGCAACACAAAACUUGGACCAGAUCUUUGAUGAGUGUUUACAAGCUCUAAUUAAAUGUACUUGUAGCUAUCAAUACAUCCAUGCAUCCUCAAUGGAUCUGUUUCCGGAUUCCACGCUGAAGAGUCCUGUUCAAUUUCGUUAAUUGUAAGAAUGGGGGCGCUCGACAGGGCUAGCUCUGCCUCCUCUCUCCACAGUUCCUCACUCACACGACAGCGACCGAGCAAUGGAACUCUUUGGAGUCUCGGUUUCCUUGUCUCUAAGAAUGCAGGAUCACAUGAGAUAAAAUGUGCAAGCCCUCGUUCAUUCAGUCACUCUUCACUGAGACCCACCGUGUCCUCGGCGUCCUUGUGGGCUCCGGGGAACCGUUCAGUGUUCUUCAUCAAAGUUUAUUGAGUGACAGACACCGUGCAAGACACUCAAAAGUCACUACGCUCCCGGAACUUGAUUUUAGAGGCGGGACACAGACUGUCGGAACCUCGAAUGAGGAAGCGUUAAGGCAGUCAGACGGCAUGAUGGUUAAUUUCCGUGUGACCUUGCCUGGGCCGAGAGAUGUCCCGAUGGCUGGUGAGACAUCACACAUGGGCGAGUCUGUGAGAGCGUUCCGGAAGGAAGGAACACUUGAACUUGUAGACUGAGUAAGGAUCCACCCCCAGCGCCCUGUGCAGGUGUCACUCGGUCCAUGGAGGAGCUGACUAGAACAGAAAGGUGGAGGAACAGUGACCUCUUGCCCUCUUUUCUUGAGCCGUAACAUCUGUCAUCUCCUGUUCUUGGACUUCGGAGCUUUUGCUCCUUAGGUCUUCAGACCCUGAAGCUUACGCCAGCAGCCGCUCCCCGGUGGACCAGGGCUCACUCUGUUGCCCCCUUGGCUCUCAGACCUCAGACUUGCACAGAAUCACAUCAGCAGCCUUCCUGGUUGUCUGGCUUGCAGGUGGAAUUUCAGGAUCUUCUUGGGCUCCAUGGUCCUGGGAGUCAAUCGCCCUGAGAAGUCUCCUCUUUGGCUCUCUCUCCGUAAAGGCUGUUGGUUCUGUUUCCCUGGAGAACCCUGACGACCGCUCUGGGAAAACAUUCCCGGGGAGAAAAGGGGCUGCAGACAGUGCAU